UGACAGGUGGUGCAUGGUUGUCGUCAGCUCGUGUCGUGAGAUGUUGGGUUAAGUCCCGCAACGAGCGCAACCCUCGACCUUAGCUGCCAGCAUUCAGUUGGGCACUCUAAGGUGACUGCGGCUAAAAGUCGGAGGAAGUGGGGAUGACGUCAAAUCAUCAUGCCCCUUAUGACCUGGGCGUACACACGUGCUACAAUGGGCGGUACAAAGGGCUGCGAACCCGCGAGGGGGAGCGAAUCCCAAAAAGCCGCUCUCAGUUCGGAUUGCAGGCUGCAACUCGCCUGCAUGAAGCCGGAAUCGCUAGUAAUCGCGGAUCGGCAUGCCGCGGUGAAUACGUUCCCGGGCCUU
Molecule: ribosomal RNA, 348 nt
Filed under: uncultured Geobacillus sp.
Lineage: Bacteria; Bacillati; Bacillota; Bacilli; Caryophanales; Anoxybacillaceae
Description: bacterial SSU rRNA
Rfam family: Bacterial small subunit ribosomal RNA
Source: RNAcentral